Molecule: long non-coding RNA, 740 nt
Organism: Megalobrama amblycephala (Wuchang bream)
Lineage: Eukaryota; Metazoa; Chordata; Actinopteri; Cypriniformes; Xenocyprididae
Exons: 3
Source: RefSeq, a predicted model, not a curated record
UGGCAGCUAACUUUUUCUGCAGCAGUUUGUUUCUGCUAUAAAGAAGCAAUAUUGCCACACUGUUAAAUGUCACUGUAGAUUUAGCAGCACAUUACUGUAAAAACCUACAGUACAGUACUGCCUUUUUAUAUUACAGUACAAUACUGUAUUUUGUAUUGCAUUCUGGGUAAUUUUGUUUGAGCGGGAACAUUUUACAGUAUAUUUUAGUGUUGCUGUAACCUAGCUGUAACUUGGCUGUAAUAUGCCAGGCAAAAAUACAGGAUUGCUGUAAACAGCGCCCCCCGACUGACGUCAGAACAACUGCAGCUCACUCACUCGAUGGAUAUCUGGAUGUCUCACUCGGUCGAUAUCUGGAAGUUUGCUCUACGGUGUGUCUUUGCAGCCUGGGAAUAAGUCUGUUCCUGGUCAGAAUCAACCCUGAAGAUGGAAAUGCCAGACAGACGAAGUGCCAGACAGGGAGUCAGUAAGGGGACCAAAAGGGUGGUGCAGAGGAAGUGACGGCCAUCAACCCACAAAACUUCAAAAUGAUGCCUGCACCCACACACUUGUUUUUUUGUUUGUUUGUUUGUUUGUUUUUUGUGUUUUUUUGUCGCUCACUUGUCAUUCUUUUACCCAACCCAAUCCUCAAGUUCUCUUUUCUUGUAUGUUUUUGUUUCAUUUACAUUUGUGCACACUUAAAAGGUUAGUUCACCCAAAAAUGAAAAUAAUGUAAUUUAUUACUUACCCUCAUUUCGUUCCAC